This 649-nucleotide ribosomal RNA is filed under the name uncultured bacterium. RNAcentral describes it as "bacterial SSU rRNA". It matches the Rfam family "Bacterial small subunit ribosomal RNA", at positions 8 to 700 of the family's 1533-position model. The record is from RNAcentral.
AGAGUUUGAUCCUGGCUCAGGAUGAACGCUGGCGGCGUGUUUUAAGCAUGCAAGUGGAACGAACACCUUCGGGUGUAAGUCGCGAACGGCUGAGUAAUAGAUAGGAAUCUACCUUUUGGUGGGGAAUACCUCGGAGAAAUCCGGGUUAAUACCGCAUAAGACCUACGGGUGAAAGGGCAUAACUGCCCGCCGAAAGAGGAGCCUUUCUCCUAUCAGCUUGUUGGUGAGGUAAAAGCUCACCAAGGCUACGACGGGUAGGGGGCGUGAGAGCGUGUUCCCCCAGAAUGGCACUGAGAUACGGGCCAUACUCCUACGGGAGGCAGCAACUGAGAAUCGUGCGCAAUGGACGAAAGUCUGACGCCGCGACGCCGCGUGAAGGAUGAAGGCCUUAGGGUUGUAAACUUCUUUUGCCAAAAGGGAGACCUUUUGGAGAAUAAGCACCGGCUAACUACGUGCCAGCAGCAGCGGUAAUACGUAGGGUGCAAGCGUUAUCCGGAUUUAUUGGGCGUAAAGAGUCACGUAGGCGUCUUGGAAAGUUGUUCUUUAAAUACCAGAGCUCAACUUUGGAAAGGGGAGCAAUACUGCCAAGAUUGAAAGGUUUCGGGGCUACUGGAACUAUCCAUGUAGGGGUGAAAUCCGUUGAUAUGGA